Molecule: non-coding RNA, 790 nt
Filed under: Loricera pilicornis
Lineage: Eukaryota; Metazoa; Arthropoda; Insecta; Coleoptera; Carabidae
Source: RNAcentral
AUAAAGUUUAAUUUUAGCUUAAAAAUUUAUUUAAUGUUUUUUUUAUAUGUAAAUUUUUGUGUGAUAAUUAGUUAGAAUUUUAAUAAUUUUACUAUAAAGUUUUAUUUGCAGUAUUUAAUUUUAAUAAUUUAAGAAAUUAAGAAUUAUAAAUAUAUUUUUAUAUUGACAAAUUUUGUGCCAGCAGUUGCGGUUAUACAAAAAAUAUAAGUAAAUUUUAUUAGUAAAUAAUUAUAUGAAUUAUUAUAAAUAUUAAAUUAUAUUUAUUAGGUGAAAUUUUAAAUAUAAAAUUAAUUUUAAUAAAAAUUUUUAAUAUUAUGAAAUUUAUUUUUAAACUAGGAUUAGAUACCCUAUUAUUUUAAAUGUAAAUAAAUUAUACUAAAUUAGUAAUAGUUAUGUUCUUCAAAUUUAAAAAAUUUGGCGGUAUUUUAGUCUUUUUAGAGGAACCUGUCCUAUAAUUGAUAAUCCACGAUUUACUUUACUUAAUUUAUAAAUUUGUAUACCGUUGUUAUUAGAAAAUUUCAAAAGAAUUAAAAUUUUUAAUAUUCAAUAUUAAGAAAUAUAUCAGAUCAAGGUGCAGUUGAUAGUUAAGAAGAGAUGGGUUACAAUAAAUAUAUUUAUUAAUGGAUUAUUAAAUUUAAAUAUUUAUAUGAAAGUGGAUUUAAAAGUAAUAAAAUUUAAUUUAAUUUUAUGAUUUAAGCUCUAUAAUAUGUACAUAUCGCCCGUCACUCUUAUUAUAAGAUAAGAUAAGUCGUAACAUAGUAGAUGUACUGGAAAGUGUAUCUAGAAAGAC